GUUCUCAGGGCGGGGCGGAAUUCCCCACCGGCGGUAUGCAGGGCGCAAGCACCUGUGAGCCCGCGAGCGGCUUCCGGAGUGAACGGGAGUGUCAGCAGAUCUGGUGAGAGGCCAGAGCCGACGGUUACAGUCCGGAUGAAAGAGAAC
RNAcentral lists this non-coding RNA (147 nucleotides) under marine eukaryotic metagenome. RNAcentral describes it as "FMN riboswitch (RFN element)". It matches the Rfam family "FMN riboswitch aptamer (RFN element)". From Rfam's summary of the family: The RFN element is a highly conserved domain that is found frequently in the 5'-untranslated regions of prokaryotic mRNAs that encode for flavin mononucleotide (FMN) biosynthesis and transport proteins. This element is a metabolite-dependent riboswitch that directly binds FMN in the absence of proteins. In Bacillus subtilis, the riboswitch most likely controls gene expression by causing premature transcription termination within the 5' untranslated region of the ribDEAHT operon and precluding access to the ribosome-binding site of ypaA mRNA. The record is from RNAcentral.